RNAcentral lists this long non-coding RNA (2095 nucleotides) under Equus caballus (horse). RNAcentral's name for it is "lncRNA (ENSECAG00000057935.1)". Lineage: Eukaryota; Metazoa; Chordata; Mammalia; Perissodactyla; Equidae. The record is from RNAcentral.
GGGGAGGGUAGAAAACCUGACAACGGACUUUUAGAAUAGUGGAGACCACCUUCCCCAAGUCCCCACGGAGGGUCAGCGCCUAGACAUGCCCCAGACCCUAUUUUAUAGGCAGGGGAAGCGAUCUCAAAGCGGGAAGAGAUUUGCCUCUAGACACACAAGCAAGACCGUGAAAGCACGGGGCUAUGGAACCAGAUAGACCUCGGUUCGAAUCCUGACUCCACUAUUUUCUGGUUAUGACCCUGAGCCUCAGUUUCCAUACCUGGAAAGUGGGGGCUCCUGUCGUGUCUACCUCUUUCACUCAUUUAAAAAUGUUUACUGAAUGCCUACUGGGUUCCAGGCCCUGCUCGAGGUGCUGGAGUUUCAGUAGUUUGUUCUCACUGAUCUCGCGAUUUGUGGAGAAGGAAGAUUAGCCCUGAGCUAACAUCUGCUGUCAAUCCUCCUCUUUUUGCUGAGGAAGACUGGCCCUCAGCUGACAUCCAUGCCCAUCUUCCUCCACUUUAUACGUGGGACGCCUGCCACAGCAUGGCUUGCCAAGCGGUGCCACGUCCGCACCCGGGAUCUGAACUGGCGAAUCCCGGGCCGCCGAAGCAGAACGUGCAAACCUAACCACUGCACCACCAGGCCGGCCCCAGACAAGUGCUUUUGCAGGGAGAUGUCAAGGCCUGGAAGACAAGAGUGGAGAGAGGGCGGCUCCACCAGGAGGGAGGGGACAGGACCCACGGUCUCCCUUCAUCUCUUCUCUGCCUCUAGGUUUCCUGCUCCAGGCCACUUUUCUCUCUCAUCUCUGUCUGUCCGUAUGUCUCUGUAUGGAAACUGGGCCCUUGAUCCAUCACUUAUGAGCUCUGUCACCCUGAGCAAGUUACUCCCCCUCUCUGAGCCUCCGUUUCUUCUUCUGGAAAAUGGGGAUGAGGAUACCUCUGCUGCAGGUCUUUUAGGAGGAUUAAGUGAGAUGCAGACACAUAAAAUGCCCGAGAUAUGGGACCUAUUAUUGUUAUUCUCAUUAUUACUGUACUAUUACUUCUGAUCUUGGACUCCGUUUUUCUCGGAGCCUCUGUUUUCCUCUUUCUGACUCUUCCUUUCUUUGUGUUUCUCUUUCUGCCUCUCCUUCUGUCCAUCUAGCUCCCUAUUUGGGUCUAUGCCUGGGCUGGGAGCCCCAUGAGGGCCGGGCAAGGGCCAGCCACAUCCCCAGCAUUGCCAAGUCCAGGGCCUGAUACAUCACCAGUACCUAAUAAAAUAAGUUGAACCUUGCUCUGUGCCAAACCAGCGUUGGGUGAUGCUGGGACCCAGCAGUGACAGAGACAGCCCCAGCCCUGUCUUCACAGCGUUCACAGUCCAGGAGAGGAAAUCAUUGUUUGUUGAAUGAAUGAAUGAGCUAACUUUGAGGUGGGCUUGGAAGACUCGACAAAAAUUGGGUGGAGGCACUGGAGGUGGGGAAAACUGCCGGAACCAAGGUUGAGGGGCUGGGAAGAGUUUAAAGAGGUAGGAGGUCAUGGAGAGAAGGCAAGAGAGCUCAGCAGAGGCCUUGAAGGCCGUGGAGAGGAGCCUGAGCUUUCUCCUGAGGGCACUAGGGAGCCAUGGCAGGUUCCGAGCUGGGGAGGGACAGGGUCAGGUUUAUGCUUUAGUGUGACUGCUCUGGCUGCCUGGCUGCCCCAUUGUGUGGGCAGGUGAGUGGAAGAGAGAGGAGCGGGAUUGGGGCAGGAGACCUGGGAGAGAAGAGUCCUGGACCAGUGCAGGAGCUGGGGGAAGAGGAAAGAGGAGCCAGAUUCUAGAAACCUGGAGGAAAAUGCUCAGGCCCCCCUGCUGUCCUUGACGCCUGGAAAGGGGCUUCAGGACUCGACCACCACCACCAGGGGGCAGCCCGGGCUACAGGUUCGAGUCCUCUCAGGGCGGGGAGGUUUGCACUCCGAUUUGGAUGUGGGGGGAGGUUGCAGCUGUCUGUGGGGCUGCGACUCAGAGCCUCUAUGCUCUCCUGCCCCCCAUCCUGGCCUCUCGGGCCCCUGGAGCCCCCACCCCACCAGCAGGAGAUUAUGUCAACACAGCCCGCUGCUUCUGGCGCUGCUUCUGGCCAGGACAAUAUUUGCCCUUAGGAUCUGGG